CCGAUUCCUAACAACUCCUAAAAUCUUACGUUUUACGUAUCACGUAGGUCAUGCGCAGUGGGCGGAAAACAACAAAAAUUGAUUCCCCCGUUCUCUUUUUGUUUUGGCUCCUUUUUUAAAGUCGUGAAAAAAUUGGUUUUAGGGAUGACGAAGACGGGAAAACCGGAUGCCUAUUGGGCUGGUGUUAUGCAGCUGUAUGCUCAGGGGAAGUUUAGGUUUACCACCGGUAAGAGACCUGGAGGCAGAAGAUGGAAGGCUGUCAUCCAGCAGAUAGACGGAUGUCCACUGACUCCUGUCUUCAAUCAGAAAGCUCGAACAUUUGAUAUAUUUGGGGGAAAAAUUCCCUGCAAAUGUGGCUAUCAUAAGUCAGCUGAGCAGGCAGGUUCAACAGGGAUUCAAGCACAAAGCAAGUCAGGUGCAGGGACAGCAUCAGCUGACCAAGCCAUCCAGAGCAGCCAAAGUGUAAGUUUGGCCCCAGCAGAUCCAGCCACACAGAGCAGUUCAAAUGUAAAAAGAGCCUCAGUACAUCUUGCCAUGCCCAGGAGCUCAAGUCUAGAUGGAGCUGCAGCAGAUCCCGCCACACAGAGCAGUUCAAGUGUAGGCAAAGUUCCAGCCAACCCCACAAAGCAGAGGACCUCAAAUGCAGGGAGCAGGCAGCCUCAAAGCUUGUCAAUCAGUAAAUGCAUGAUUCCUGUCUGUCCAUGGAGCACCGAGGUCUUAAGCCAGUUAGAUCCUGCCCACAGAAACAAGUUCCCAGCUAUUCUCACAACACAGCUGGCUCUGGACAAAAGGUGUGUGACAUUGCUGAAACCACGAACUGUUGGAAAUAGCUCCAGUUAUGUGCAGCAAGCAUUAGAAGAGUUGCACAGCGAGGAGUGGGCAAAGCGCACCAUUUAAUAUCUGUCUGACUGUGAGCUUCACAAAAAGAAAAGUGCCUUAACCAGGAGUGAUGAAGUGGUCUACCAGAAACCUCCACCGUUUUGCCCCCUUCCUCUUGCACAGUGGUUUGAGACAGUGCAUGCCAACGAAAUACUCUGUCACUUGGAUGAGAUGAAGGGUGUCAUUACCUCAACAUAUGGCAGGAUUUUAAAGCUUGACUCUACCAAAAAGAUCACAAAAAAACUUGCUGGUGGAAUUGCAGAGACGGCUACGUGGAUGACAAACGUCACCAACGAGUAUGGCCAAGUUCUGAACUGUGUGCUAACCACAGGUGAAGGAGCAGGUUUAGAGGAGCUAUGCCAAGGCAUUGUCUUGCGUUUUCAGAAUGCUGGGGAGCCAGAGCCAGAAAUCAUUUAUGUUGACAGAGACUGCUGUGGUGCAUCAGUUCUUGAGUGGUUUCGACCAUGGAAGACAAAAGUGAGACUGGACAUUUUUCACUUCAUGAGACGAUUCACAGCAGGUCUUACCACAGAGCAUCAUCCUCUUUAUGGCACUUUCUGCUCCAAGUUGUCCUGCUGCAUUUAUGAGUGG
Long non-coding RNA from Girardinichthys multiradiatus, 1470 nucleotides. RefSeq lists it as uncharacterized. NCBI's taxonomy places the organism in Eukaryota, Metazoa, Chordata, Actinopteri, Cyprinodontiformes, Goodeidae. The record is from RefSeq and is a predicted model, not a curated record. The transcript has 5 exons.